RNAcentral lists this long non-coding RNA (226 nucleotides) under Erythranthe guttata (spotted monkey flower). RNAcentral describes it as "long non-coding RNA (EGUT_LNC003279)". The record is from RNAcentral. Lineage: Eukaryota; Viridiplantae; Streptophyta; Magnoliopsida; Lamiales; Phrymaceae.
CUGGACCCACAGCUGGUUAUGGUUCAUAUCCAGCAUCAGCUCAGCCUGGUUAUGCUGAACAACCAGCUGCAAGCAACGCAACUUAUGGGUAUGGUGCACCUGCAGCAGAUCCAACUUAUGGUGCACCUGCAGCUGUUCAGUCUGGUUAUGCUCAAACUCAACCUAGCUAUGAUCAGUCUGCUGGUUAUGGGAAUGUGCCUCCUGCUGCUGCACCAGCUGCCUAUGG